Molecule: ribosomal RNA, 779 nt
Filed under: uncultured archaeon
Lineage: Archaea
Description: bacterial SSU rRNA
Rfam family: Archaeal small subunit ribosomal RNA
Source: RNAcentral
GCUCAGUAACACGUGGAUAACCUACCCUUAGGACCGGGAUAACCCUGGGAAACUGGGGCUAAUACUGGAUAGAUGAUUUUUCCUGGAAUGGUUUUUUGUUUAAAUGUUUUUUCGCCUAAGGAUGGGUCUGCGGCAGAUUAGGUAGUUGGUUAGGUAAUGGCUUACCAAGCCGUUGAUCGGUACGGGUUGUGAGAGCAAGAGCCCGGAGAUGGAACCUGAGACAAGGUUCCAGGCCCUACGGGGUGCAGCAGGCGCGAAACCUCCGCAAUGUGAGAAAUCGCGACGGGGGGAUCCCAAGUGCCAUUCUUAACGGGAUGGCUUUUCAUUAGUGUAAAGAGCUUUUGGAAUAAGGGCUGGGCAAGACCGGUGCCAGCCGCCGCGGUAACACCGGCAGCUCUAGUGGUAGCAGUUUUUAUUGGGCCUAAAGCGUCCGUAGCCGGUUUAAUAAGUCUCUGGUGAAAUCCUGUAGCUUAACUGUGGGAAUUGCUGGAGAUACUAUUAGACUUGAGACCGGGAGAGGUUAGAGGUACUCCUAGGGUAGAGGUGAAAUUCUGUAAUCCUGGGAGGACCGCCUGUUGCGAAGGCGUCUAACUGGAACGGUUCUGACGGUGAGGGACGAAAGUUAGGGGCGCGAACCGGAUUAGAUACCCGGGUAGUCCUAACCGUAAACGAUGCGGACUUGGUGUUGGGGUGGCUUUGAGCUGCUCCAGUGCCGAAGGAAAGCUGUUAAGUCCGCCGCCUGGAAGUACGGUCGCAAGACUGAAACUUAAAGGAAUUGG